This 3581-nucleotide small RNA is filed under the name Pongo abelii (Sumatran orangutan). Its description in RNAcentral is "retained intron". Lineage: Eukaryota; Metazoa; Chordata; Mammalia; Primates; Hominidae. The record is from RNAcentral.
AUGGCGCUGCCAUCACUCCUGCUGUUGGUGGCAGCCCUGGCAGGUGGGGUGCGUCCUCCCGGGGCGCGGAACCUGACGCUGGCGGUGGUGCUGCCAGAACACAACCUGAGCUAUGCCUGGGCCUGGCCACGGGUGGGACCCGCUGUGGCACUAGCUGUGGAGGCGCUGGGCCGGGCACUGCCCGUGGACCUGCGGUUUGUCAGCUCCGAACUGGAAGGCGCCUGCUCUGAGUACCUGGCACCGCUGAGCGCUGUGGACCUCAAGCUGUACCAUGACCCCGACCUGCUGUUAGGUCCAGGUUGCGUGUACCCUGCUGCCUCUGUGGCCCGCUUUGCCUCCCACUGGCGCCUUCCCCUGCUGACUGCGGGUGCUGUGGCCUCUGGUUUCUCGGCUAAGAAUGACCAUUAUCGUACCCUGGUUCGCACUGGCCCCUCUGCUCCCAAGCUGGGUGAGUUUGUGGUGACACUACACGGGCACUUCAAUUGGACUGCCCGUGCUGCCUUGCUGUACCUCGAUGCUCGCACAGAUGACCGGCCUCACUACUUCACCAUCGAGGGCGUCUUUGAGGCCCUGCAGGGCAGCAACCUCAGUGUGCAGCACCAGGUGUACACCCGAGAGCCGGGGGGCCCCGAGCAGGCCACCCACUUCAUCCGGGCCAACGGGCGCAUUGUGUAUAUCUGCGGCCCUCUGGAGAUGCUGCAUGAGAUCCUGCUUCAGGCCCAGAGGGAGAAUCUGACCAAUGGGGAUUAUGUCUUCUUUUACCUGGAUGUCUUUGGGGAGAGUCUCCGUGCAGGCCCCACACGUGCUACAGGCCGGCCCUGGCAGGACAAUCGCACCCGGGAACAGGCCCAGGCCCUCAGAGAGGCCUUUCAGACUGUAUUGGUGAUCACGUACCGAGAACCCCCAAAUCCUGAGUAUCAGGAAUUCCAGAAUCGUCUGCUGAUAAGAGCCCGGGAAGACUUUGGUGUGGAGCUGGGCCCUUCCCUGAUGAACCUCAUCGCUGGCUGCUUCUAUGAUGGGAUCCUGCUAUAUGCUGAAGUCCUGAAUGAGACAAUACAGGAAGGAGGCACCCGGGAGGAUGGACUUCGAAUUGUGGAGAAGAUGCAGGGACGAAGAUACCACGGUGUAACUGGACUGGUUGUCAUGGACAAGAACAAUGACCGGGAGACUGACUUUGUCCUGUGGGCCAUGGGAGACCUGGAUUCUGGGGACUUUCAGCCUGCAGCCCACUACUCGGGAGCUGAGAAGCAGAUUUGGUGGACGGGACGGCCUAUUCCCUGGGUGAAGGGGGCUCCUCCCUCGGACAAUCCCCCCUGUGCCUUUGACUUGGACGACCCAUCCUGUGAUAAAACUCCACUUUCAACUCUGGCAAUUGUGGCUCUGGGCACAGGAAUCACCUUCAUCAUGUUUGGUGUUUCCAGCUUCCUAAUUUUCCGAAAGCUGAUGCUGGAGAAGGAGCUGGCUAGCAUGUUGUGGCGCAUUCGCUGGGAAGAACUGCAAUUUGGCAACUCAGAGCGUUAUCACAAAGGUGCAGGCAGUCGCCUCACACUGUCGCUGCGGGGAUCCAGUUACGGCUCGCUCAUGACAGCCCAUGGGAAAUACCAGAUCUUUGCCAACACCGGUCACUUCAAGGGAAAUGUUGUUGCCAUCAAACAUGUGAAUAAGAAGCGCAUUGAGCUGACCCGGCAGGUUCUGUUUGAACUCAAACAUAUGAGAGAUGUUCAGUUCAACCAUCUCACUCGCUUCAUUGGCGCCUGCAUAGACCCUCCCAACAUUUGCAUUGUCACUGAAUAUUGUCCUCGUGGGAGUUUACAGGAUAUUCUAGAAAAUGACAGCAUCAACUUGGACUGGAUGUUUCGUUAUUCACUCAUUAAUGACCUUGUUAAGGGCAUGGCCUUUCUCCACAACAGCAUUAUUUCAUCGCAUGGGAGUCUCAAGUCCUCCAACUGUGUGGUGGAUAGUCGUUUUGUGCUCAAAAUCACAGACUAUGGCCUGGCCAGCUUCCGAUCAACUGCUGAACCUGAUGACAGCCAUGCCCUCUAUGCCAAGAAGCUGUGGACUGCCCCAGAACUGCUCAGUGGGAACCCCUUGCCAACCACAGGCAUGCAGAAGGCUGACGUCUAUAGCUUUGGGAUCAUCCUGCAGGAGAUAGCCCUUCGCAGUGGUCCUUUCUACUUGGAGGGCCUGGACCUCAGCCCCAAAGGUAAGAGUCAAUCCACUACCCACAGCCUCUUCUUCCUGGGGGAACUCUGUUCUUCAUCCAAACCUUUGAUCACCCUCAGAGAUUGUCCAGAAGGUGCGAAAUGGUCAGCGGCCAUAUUUCCGGCCAAGCAUUGACCGGACCCAACUGAAUGAAGAGCUAGUUUUGCUGAUGGAGCGAUGUUGGGCUCAGGACCCAGCUGAGCGGCCAGACUUUGGACAGAUUAAGGGCUUCAUUCGACGCUUUAACAAGGAGGGUGGCACCAGCAUAUUAGACAACCUCCUGCUGCGCAUGGAACAGUAUGCCAAUAACCUGGAGAAGCUGGUGGAGGAACGCACACAGGCCUAUCUGGAGGAAAAACGCAAGGCUGAAGCUCUGCUCUACCAAAUUCUACCCCAUUCAGUGGCAGAGCAAUUGAAACGGGGAGAGACUGUACAGGCUGAGGCCUUUGACAGUGUUACCAUCUACUUCAGUGACAUUGUUGGCUUCACAGCAUUGUCAGCAGAGAGCACCCCCAUGCAGGUAGUGACACUUCUUAAUGACCUGUAUACCUGCUUUGAUGCCAUAAUUGACAACUUUGAUGUCUACAAGGUGGAGACGAUUGGGGAUGCUUACAUGGUGGUAUCUGGCCUCCCAGGCCGAAAUGGUCAACGCCAUGCACCAGAAAUUGCUCGUAUGGCCCUAGCAUUACUAGAUGCAGUUUCUUCCUUCCGCAUCCGCCACCGACCCCAUGACCAGCUGAGGCUACGCAUAGGGGUCCAUACUGGUAAGGCUGACUCUCACUCCAGCCCUAGUCUCCACCUUUCCCAGACUCUCCCAACCUGUUUCUUCUCAUAGGGCCAGUCUGUGCUGGGGUUGUUGGCCUGAAGAUGCCCCGUUAUUGUCUUUUUGGAGACACAGUGAACACUGCUUCUCGAAUGGAGUCUAAUGGUCAAGCGCUGAAGAUCCAUGUCUCCUCUACCACCAAGGAUGCCCUAGAUGAGCUAGGAUGCUUCCAGCUAGAGCUUCGGGGGGAUGUGGAAAUGAAGGGAAAAGGAAAGAUGCGAACAUACUGGCUCUUAGGAGAGCGGAAAGGACCUCCUGGACUCCUGUAAACCCCCAUUCUUCCCAAGUCAGACAGUCUUCUGCUGCUGGUACCUGGGUGGGCAAUGGCCACCAUGUCUGCACACACCAGAAAUGGACAUUUUCAUAUGCAAUGGAAAACAGCCACAAAAAAACCUACCUUAUAUGGAUGUUGUAGCCCUCUGCAGCUCAGCCCUGUACAUAUACCUGUCCCUCUCUGGCUUGGUCCCCUUCCUCCCUACUUUCUGUAAAUAUCUGUAUCUAAACCAGAAUAUUUUGGUCAAAUAUAAAACAAUAAUAAAAAAAGUUCUGAUGUCAU